RNAcentral lists this ribosomal RNA (377 nucleotides) under uncultured eukaryote. RNAcentral's name for it is "partial 18S ribosomal RNA". It matches the Rfam family "Eukaryotic small subunit ribosomal RNA", at positions 592 to 976 of the family's 1831-position model. The record is from RNAcentral.
CAAUAGCGUAUAUUUAAGUUGCUGCAGUUAAAAAGCUCGUAGUUGGAUUUCUGGUGGGAGCGGCCGGUCCGCCGUUUCGGUGUGCACUUGCUACGCCCACCUUGCUGCCGGGGACGUGCUCUUGAGUUCACGCUCGGGACACGGAGUCGGCGAGGUUACUUUGAGUAAAUUAGAGUGUUCAAAGCAGGCCUACGCUCUGAAUACAUUAGCAUGGAAUAACACGAUAGGACUCUGGCCUAUCUUGUUGGUCUGUAGGACCGGAGUAAUGAUUAAGAGGGACAGUCGGGGGCAUUCGUAUUUCAUUGUCAGAGGUGAAAUUCUUGGAUUUAUGAAAGACGAACUACUGCGAAAGCAUUUGCCAAGGAUGUUUUCAUUAA